GUCAUAAAAUCAACAAGGACCAUAGCUAAUUCCCGCCAUUUCCAUGCCCUUUCAAUCCUAUUCCUCUUGCCUAUCUUUUUCUCUCUCGUCGUUUAUCCUUCUUUCCACCUUUCCCUCUUUCAUCACUCAACCUCAAUUUUCCCACUUUUUCCUUUCCAGUUUCGAAAUUGUUGUACCAGUAGCGUACACUCCGUUUCUUGUCCUCCUGUUCCUUUGUGCCGUAGCCACAAUUACAUACAGCGCGGUUCAUGUAUCCUGUGGUAGACCUGUCAACCUCGUUUCGUCUAUUAAAUCUAUCAGAAAUUCCUUCUUCCCCAUUCUCUCCACCUUUAUCGUUUCGCAAACAAUUUUCAUUUCAAUCACUCUCAUUUUCGCCCUUGUCUUGGUUUUCUUAGUCCAAGUUCUUCAAACUCUUGGACUCAAAUAUGACUCGAAUCACUUCUUGUUUUUGGUUAUUCCCGUGGUGAUAGUGCUCGUGCCAGUUUUGAUAUGGCUGCAGGUUAACUGGUCAUUAGCUUAUGUUAUAGCAGUAGUCGAAUCCAAAUGGGGUUUCGAAACACUAAGGAGAAGUGCCUAUUUGUUAAAGGGGAAGAGAUCGGUAGCUUUGUCGAUGAUGCUGUUAUACGGGCUUUUGAUGGGAAUAAUGGUGGUUUUAGGUGCCAUGCAUUUAGUCAUUGUGGGCGCAGCGAAGGGUCAUAAGUGGAGAAGUUUAGGGGUAAUAUUGCAGACUGCUCAGGCUUCUGUAAUUGGCUAUAUGAUGAUGAGUCAAUUUCUUGUGGGGAAUGUUGUUUUGUAUAUGCGUUGCAAGGACUUGAAUGGUGAAAAAUUGCCCUUGGAAAUGGAUCAUCUUCUUCUUCUUCUUCCACCUACAAUGUCGUCUGCUUCUACGAAAAAUCGUAGCCUAUGGAUAGAGGUCGUAGAAUCAAGAAUGAGCAUAUUCAAAGCUAAUUCUAGCCAUUUCCAUGCACUUUCAAUCCUCUUCCUCUUGCCUAUCUCUUUCUCUCUCGUCGGGUAUCCUUUUUUCCACCUUGCUCUCUUUCAUCCGGACUAUGAUUUCAUCAGUUUCGCUCAACCCCAUCUUUUCCAUUCGAAUUUCGAAAUUAUUGUACCAACAGUGUACUCUCUUUUUCUGGUCCUCCUUUUCCUAUGCGCCGUAGCCACAACUACACAUAGCGCGGUUCAUGCAUCCUAUGGUAGACCUAUAAACCUCGUUUCAUCGACUAAAUCUAUCAGAAAGUCCUUCUUCCCCCUUUUAUCCACCUUAGUCAUUUCGCAAACCAUUUUCAUUUCAAUCACCCUCUUUUUCGCCCUAAUCUUGACUAUUGUAGUCCAAAUUCUUCAAGCUCUCGAACUAAUUGAACUCAAAUACGACUCAAAUCACUUCUUG
This 1387-nucleotide long non-coding RNA is filed under the name Nicotiana tabacum (common tobacco). RNAcentral describes it as "long non-coding RNA (NTAB_LNC001598)". Lineage: Eukaryota; Viridiplantae; Streptophyta; Magnoliopsida; Solanales; Solanaceae. The record is from RNAcentral.